CAUGCAAGUAGGUUACUUUAACGCUACUUAUGUUCUUAGUCAUUCCUUACUCUUUGUCAUUUAAUGCUUACUUUUAGCUCUUAGCUAUUCCUUUCUUGCAACUUUUCUUUAGCUAUUCUUUGUCACUUAGCUAUUCUUUACUCUUUAGCUAUUCAUUAUCGUUUAGCUGUUCUUUACUCUUAACAUUCUUGAACCAUGCUAUAUCUUAGCCUUUGGCAUUCUACUCUAAGGUCACUUUACCUUAGUCAACAAAGCCACCCGACUCGGUCUUGAGUCAAUCAAUCGCGGAUAGUCCGCGCACUGUCUAGCUCGAGGUGAAGGAACUCUCACAUGCACCUCAGCUGGCAACAGCUCACCGUACUCCUGUCCUAGCCGUCUGGCGGCGAACGAAUCGCACCUCACCCAACAACGGCCUAGGUUCAAUGACUUAGUCACCCGGCGGCGAAAUCGUCGCACACACGCCACGACAGUGGUUCAGUCAACAGGCGGUAGGAUCCACAAACUGGCUAACCAUCCGGCGGCGAAAUCGUCGCACACACGCCACGACAAUGGUUCUCUAGCCCCUGGGCGGCGAAAUCGUCGCACACACCCGACACCACUUUGGGUGUAGCAGCAAGCAGCGGGAUUCCGGAAUCCAUAUCACAUCAACCAAGGGUUGGUCUUAACCCUAUGGAACUGACCUCUCUAGGUCUAAGCAUUUAUCUCCUAGGUCCAAUCGACUCUAGGUUCAUUGUCCUUUACACAACCUAAGUUAUUACUUUAGGUUUAUUGCUUUCACAUUCUUAACCUAGGUUUAUUACACUAGGAUCAUCAUUCUUUUCCAACCUAGGUUUACUUGACUCUAGGUUAAGCAGCUUUCAUUUCACAACCUAUGUCCUUUACAUUAGGUUCAACAUCCCUCUUAUUUAACCUAUGUUCUUUACAUUAGGUUCAACAUCUCAUUUAUUUAACCUAUGUCCUCGACACUAGGUUUAAUGCCACUCGAUCUAUAGGUUUAUUCAUGUCCACCUAUAUAUGUUCCUUACUUAGCAUUCUUAACAUGCACUUGCAUUUACUAUUCUUAUAUCAUGCUUAUCACUUAUACUUUAGCAUAGCAUCAUUCACUUUAAUCAUUCUAGGGUUAUCAACCUAGUUUCAUGCACAUUUAUCUCACAAUGUCAACAUGCAUUCUAUAUCUCAUUUUAACUUAUAUCAUCAAUAUGCAUUUCAUUCUAUGCAUUAUGCUUACAUGCAUUCACAUAAUUAUCUAGCUUUAUUCAACAUGCUCAUAAUGCAUUCUAUUUAGCAAUUACAUCACACUAUCAUCAUGCAUUAUUUAGCUACAUGCAUCAUUUACAUUUAUAUGCAUCAACUUUAGCAUCUACAUCAUAUUAUGCAUUUCUACUUAGCAUCAACUAUACCGAUCAUCAACAUGCAUCAACAUGAAAGUCUAAUAAUUAGACAUAAAGGCGACCUAGUCGCUUCGGUAAACCAACCCACCUUAACACGCGCUCCGAUUGCUUGUAGUCACUUGCAAUCGGCCUCCCGCGGCAACCGUUGCCCGGUUUGGCCCGAACUCUUGCGCGACUUCCAAACGACCUCCGAACCGCGAUCCGUCUUUUCCGGAGUUUAUUCCUUGACUCCAAGGUGCUCCGGUUCCGAUCUCAU
This 1647-nucleotide long non-coding RNA is filed under the name Ananas comosus (pineapple). Its description in RNAcentral is "long non-coding RNA (ACOM_LNC041638)". Lineage: Eukaryota; Viridiplantae; Streptophyta; Magnoliopsida; Poales; Bromeliaceae. The record is from RNAcentral.